CCUCUCUUCAUCUCUCUCCCUCCCUUUAUAUCUCCCUCCCUCUCUUUAUAUCUCUAUCACUCUCUUUAUAUCUCCCUCUCUUCAUCUCUCUCCCUCCCUUUAUAUCUCUCUCCUUCUCUUUAUCUCCCUCUCUUUAUAUCUCCCUCUCUUUAUCUCUCUCUCCCUCUCUUUAUAUCUCCCUCUCUUUAUCUCUCUCUCCCUCUCUUUAUAUCUCCAUCUCUUUAUCUCUCUCUCCCUCUCUUUAUCUCUCUCUCCCUCUCUUUAUAUCUCCCUCUCUUUAUAUAUCUGUCCCUCUCCUUAUAUCUCUCUCCCUCUCUUUAUCUCUCUCUCCCACUCUUUGUUUCUCUCUCCCUCUCUUUAUAUCUCUCUCCCUCUCCUUAUAUCUCUCUCCCUCUCUUUACAUCUCCCUCUCUUUAUAUCUAUCUCCCUCUCUUUAUAUCUCCCUCUCUUUAUCUCUCUCUCCCUCUCUUUAUCUCUCUCUCCCUCUCUUUACAUCUCCCUCUCUUUAUAUCUCUCUCCCUCUCUUUAUAUCUCUCUCCCUCUCUUUAUAUCUCUCUCUCUCUCUUUAUAUCUCUCUCCCUUUUUAUAUCUCUCUCUCUUUAUAUCUCUCUCCCUCUCUUUAUAUCUCUCUCCCUCUCUUUAUAUCUCUCUCUCUCUCUUUAUCUCUCUCCCUCUCUUUAUAUCUCUCUCCCUCUCUUUAUAUCUCUCUCCCUCUCUUUAUAUCUCUCUCCCUCUCCUUAUAUCUCUCUCCCAGUCUUUACAUCUCCCUCGCUUUAUAUCUCUCUCCCUCUCUUUACAUCUCCCUCUUUAUAUCUCUCUCCCUCUCUUUAUAUCUCCCUCUCCUUAUAUCUCUCUCCCUCUCUUUAUCUCUCUCUCCCUCUCUUUAUCUCUCUCUCUCUCUCUCCUUAUAUCUCUCUCCCUCUCUUUAUCUCUCUCUCUCUCUCUUUGUAUCUCUCUCCCUCUCCUUAUAUAUCUCUUCCUCUCUUUAUCUCUCUCCCUCUCUUUAUAUCUCCCUCUCUUUUUCUCUCUCCCUCUCACUCUUUAUAUCUCUGUCUCUUAUUCCUUUUCUCUCGCACCCUUCUCUCUUUUUCUCUCCUCCCUCCCUCGGUCCUCUCUCUCUCUAAUCACCAGCGAGCGAGGGGAAAAUAUCCUUGGGUCAUUAGCAGCAUUUCAAAGUCACAGUGUCCUCCAGCAUAUGCUGUUUGACAGGCCCUGCCAAAAGAAUUAGAGUGAGGAAUGAUGGUGCCAUUAUUAGAUGUGGAGCUCAGGGAAGAGUGCUUGAUCCAAGGGAUGGUGGGUUUGGGAGAAGGAGAGGAGCGUAUUUAGUAUUUAAUAGGAUCCCCAUUAGUUCCUACCAAGGCAGCAGCUACUCUUCCUGGGGUGCAAACAGGUAUGAAACAAUUCCAUCACAAAAUGUACAAUAAUAGAAUAUUACAAUGUAUGUGUGUGUAGAGUGUGUGUGUAGAGUGUGUGUAGAGUGUGUGUAGAGUUGUGUGUGUGUGUAGAGUGUGUGUGUGUAGAGUGUGUGUGUGUGUGUGUGUAGAGUGUGUGUAGAGUGUGUGUGUAGAGUGUGUGUGUAGAGUGUGUUUGUAGAGUGUGUGUGUAGAGUGUGUGUAGAGUGUGUGUGUAGUGUGUUUGUAGAGUGUGUGUAGAGUGUGUUUGUAGAGUGUGUGUGUAGAGUGUGUGUAGAGUGUGUGU
Long non-coding RNA from Oncorhynchus tshawytscha (Chinook salmon), 1698 nucleotides. The record is from Ensembl. Lineage: Eukaryota; Metazoa; Chordata; Actinopteri; Salmoniformes; Salmonidae.